CAGUCGCCGCGGGAACACGUAGGGCGCAAGCGUUGUCCGGAAUUAUUGGGCGUAAAGAGCUCGUAGGCGGUCUGUCGCGUCUGGUGUGAAAUCCCGAGGCUCAACCUCGGGCUUGCAUCGGGUACGGGCAGACUAGAGUGCGGUAGGGGAGACUGGAAUUCCUGGUGUAGCGGUGGAAUGCGCAGAUAUCAGGAGGAACACCGAUGGCGAAGGCAGGUCUCUGGGCCGCAACUGACGCUGAGGAGCGAAAGCAUGGGGAGCGAACAGGAUUAGAUACCCCGGUAGUCCCUGUCUCUUAUAA
RNAcentral lists this ribosomal RNA (301 nucleotides) under uncultured bacterium. RNAcentral's name for it is "partial 16S ribosomal RNA". It matches the Rfam family "Bacterial small subunit ribosomal RNA", at positions 509 to 809 of the family's 1533-position model. The record is from RNAcentral.